AUACGAUGAGUUUUGAAUGCUAACUUUCAAAUUCAGUCAUCUAAAUAGGGUUUGAUAUGUAGGCUGAUGAAAAACUAAGUUGUGUGUACAAUUUAAUCACAAUUUUGAUAAAUAUACAAGACUCCACAGACGUAUGGAUAUUGUUGAACCAUAUAAUUUGCAUUUUUCCUAUCUCUAGUUCUGGUUUUACUUGUUUUCAAAUUUG
RNAcentral lists this unclassified non-coding RNA (205 nucleotides) under Hevea brasiliensis (rubber tree). Lineage: Eukaryota; Viridiplantae; Streptophyta; Magnoliopsida; Malpighiales; Euphorbiaceae. The record is from RNAcentral.